Molecule: ribosomal RNA, 458 nt
Filed under: uncultured Anaerovibrio sp.
Lineage: Bacteria; Bacillati; Bacillota; Negativicutes; Selenomonadales; Selenomonadaceae
Description: partial 16S ribosomal RNA
Rfam family: Bacterial small subunit ribosomal RNA
Source: RNAcentral
ACGGAAGGCAGCAGUGGGGAAUCUUCCGCAAUGGGCGAAAGCCUGACGGAGCAACGCCGCGUGAGUGAAGAAGGUUUUCGGAUCGUAAAGCUCUGUUGUCAGGGACGAGAAGUGAGUUCAGGAAAUGGGACUUAUAGGACGGUACCUGGCGAGAAAGCCACGGCUAACUACGUGCCAGCAGCCGCGGUAAUACGUAGGUGGCGAGCGUUGUCCGGAAUUAUUGGGCGUAAAGGGAGCGCAGGUGGGAAAGUAAGUCAGUCGUAAAAGUGCGGGGCUCAACCCUGUGAUGGGAUUGAAACUACUUUUCUUGAGUGCAGGAGAGGAAAGCGGAAUUCCUAGUGUAGCGGUGAAAUGCGUAGAUAUUAGGAGGAACACCAGUGGCGAAGGCGGCUUUCUGGACUGUAACUGACACUGAGGCUCGAAAGCGUGGGGAGCGAACAGGAUUAGAUACCCUGGUA